AAUAGAACGUUUUUCUUUUUUUUCAUUUAAAAGUUUAUUGAACACUGCUAAGUAAAUGGCAAAUUCAAAUUUAAAUUUGAAGAUAAUGAAUAUGGGGUUUGGAUGUUAAUUUCUCCUCCGUUCAUUAAUUACAUGUUUGUGGUAGGCUGAAGGUGUUGUUUCAUCCAGCAUUCAACCUCUUUAGAAUACAAAUAUAUUUGUGAGUAGAAACUCUGAUUACUGUGUUUGCUUUCUCAUCAUGCCAUUACAUUCUCAUAUUCAGUUUUGAUUAAUUAACCAUGCUUAAAUGUAUGAGAACUAUAUUGGAGAAGUUCUUAGUGCUGAAGAGAAGAUUCUUGGGGCUCAAUAUGAUAUCAGCCCGCUAACACUCCCCUCAAACUUCCUGAUUACUUUAACAUUGGAG
RNAcentral lists this long non-coding RNA (403 nucleotides) under Helianthus annuus (common sunflower). Lineage: Eukaryota; Viridiplantae; Streptophyta; Magnoliopsida; Asterales; Asteraceae. The record is from RNAcentral.